RNAcentral lists this ribosomal RNA (279 nucleotides) under uncultured bacterium. Its description in RNAcentral is "partial 16S ribosomal RNA". It matches the Rfam family "Bacterial small subunit ribosomal RNA", at positions 506 to 784 of the family's 1533-position model. The record is from RNAcentral.
UGCCAGCCGCCGCGGUAAUACGGAGGGUGCAAGCGUUGUUCGAAAUUAUUAAGCAUAAAAAGCAUGUAGACGGACUAUUAAGUCUGAUGUGAAAGCCCGGGACUCAACCCCGGAAAUACAUUAAAUACUGGCAGUCUUGAGUAUAGAAGAGGAAAGUGGAAUUCCGAAUGUAGGAAUGAAAUCCGUAGAUAUUCGGAGGAACACCAGUGGCGAAGGCGGCUUUCUGGACCAAUACUGACGCUGAGAUGCGAAAGCGUGGGGAGCGAACAGGAUUAGAUA